GGGUUGUGAGGUUAAGCGACUAAGCGUACACGGUGGAUGCCCUGGCAGUCAGAGGCGAUGAAGGACGUGCUAAUCUGCGAUAAGCGUCGGUAAGGUGAUAUGAACCGUUAUAACCGGCGAUUUCCGAAUGGGGAAACCCAGUGUGUUUCGACACACUAUCAUUAACUGAAUCCAUAGGUUAAUGAGGCGAACCGGGGGAACUGAAACAUCUAAGUACCCCGAGGAAAAGAAAUCAACCGAGAUUCCCCCAGUAGCGGCGAGCGAACGGGGAGCAGCCCAGAGCCUGAAUCAGUAUGUGUGUUAGUGGAAGCGUCUGGAAAGGCGCGCGAUACAGGGUGACAGCCCCGUACACAAAAAUGCACAUGCUGUGAGCUCGAUGAGUAGGGCGGGACACGUGGUAUCCUGUCUGAAUAUGGGGGGACCAUCCUCCAAGGCUAAAUACUCCUGACUGACCGAUAGUGAACCAGUACCGUGAGGGAAAGGCGAAAAGAACCCCGGCGAGGGGAGUGAAAAAGAACCUGAAACCGUGUACGUACAAGCAGUGGGAGCACGCUUAGGCGUGUGACUGCGUACCUUUUGUAUAAUGGGUCAGCGACUUAUAUUCUGUAGCAAGGUUAACCGAAUAGGGGAGCCGAAGGGAAACCGAGUCUUAACUGGGCGUUAAGUUGCAGGGUAUAGACCCGAAACCCGGUGAUCUAGCCAUGGGCAGGUUGAAGGUUGGGUAACACUAACUGGAGGACCGAACCGACUAAUGUUGAAAAAUUAGCGGAUGACUUGUGGCUGGGGGUGAAAGGCCAAUCAAACCGGGAGAUAGCUGGUUCUCCCCGAAAGCUAUUUAGGUAGCGCCUCGUGAAUUCAUCUCCGGGGGUAGAGCACUGUUUCGGCAAGGGGGUCAUCCCGACUUACCAACCCGAUGCAAACUGCGAAUACCGGAGAAUGUUAUCACGGGAGACACACGGCGGGUGCUAACGUCCGUCGUGAAGAGGGAAACAACCCAGACCGCCAGCUAAGGUCCCAAAGUCAUGGUUAAGUGGGAAACGAUGUGGGAAGGCCCAGACAGCCAGGAUGUUGGCUUAGAAGCAGCCAUCAUUUAAAGAAAGCGUAAUAGCUCACUGGUCGAGUCGGCCUGCGCGGAAGAUGUAACGGGGCUAAACCAUGCACCGAAGCUGCGGCAGCGACGCUUAUGCGUUGUUGGGUAGGGGAGCGUUCUGUAAGCCUGUGAAGGUGUGCUGUGAGGUAUGCUGGAGGUAUCAGAAGUGCGAAUGCUGACAUAAGUAACGAUAAAGCGGGUGAAAAGCCCGCUCGCCGGAAGACCAAGGGUUCCUGUCCAACGUUAAUCGGGGCAGGGUGAGUCGACCCCUAAGGCGAGGCCGAAAGGCGUAGUCGAUGGGAAACAGGUUAAUAUUCCUGUACUUGGUGUUACUGCGAAGGGGGGACGGAGAAGGCUAUGUUGGCCGGGCGACGGUUGUCCCGGUUUAAGCGUGUAGGCUGGUUUUCCAGGCAAAUCCGGAAAAUCAAGGCUGAGGCGUGAUGACGAGGCACUACGGUGCUGAAGCAACAAAUGCCCUGCUUCCAGGAAAAGCCUCUAAGCAUCAGGUAACAUCAAAUCGUACCCCAAACCGACACAGGUGGUCAGGUAGAGAAUACCAAGGCGCUUGAGAGAACUCGGGUGAAGGAACUAGGCAAAAUGGUGCCGUAACUUCGGGAGAAGGCACGCUGAUAUGUAGGUGAAGUCCCUUGCGGAUGGAGCUGAAAUCAGUCGAAGAUACCAGCUGGCUGCAACUGUUUAUUAAAAACACAGCACUGUGCAAACACGAAAGUGGACGUAUACGGUGUGACGCCUGCCCGGUGCCGGAAGGUUAAUUGAUGGGGUCAGCGCAAGCGAAGCUCUUGAUCGAAGCCCCGGUAAACGGCGGCCGUAACUAUAACGGUCCUAAGGUAGCGAAAUUCCUUGUCGGGUAAGUUCCGACCUGCACGAAUGGCGUAAUGAUGGCCAGGCUGUCUCCACCCGAGACUCAGUGAAAUUGAACUCGCUGUGAAGAUGCAGUGUACCCGCGGCAAGACGGAAAGACCCCGUGAACCUUUACUAUAGCUUGACACUGAACAUUGAGCCUUGAUGUGUAGGAUAGGUGGGAGGCUUUGAAGUGUGGACGCCAGUCUGCAUGGAGCCGACCUUGAAAUACCACCCUUUAAUGUUUGAUGUUCUAACGUUGACCCGUAAUCCGGGUUGCGGACAGUGUCUGGUGGGUAGUUUGACUGGGGCGGUCUCCUCCUAAAGAGUAACGGAGGAGCACGAAGGUUGGCUAAUCCUGGUCGGACAUCAGGAGGUUAGUGCAAUGGCAUAAGCCAGCUUGACUGCGAGCGUGACGGCGCGAGCAGGUGCGAAAGCAGGUCAUAGUGAUCCGGUGGUUCUGAAUGGAAGGGCCAUCGCUCAACGGAUAAAAGGUACUCCGGGGAUAACAGGCUGAUACCGCCCAAGAGUUCAUAUCGACGGCGGUGUUUGGCACCUCGAUGUCGGCUCAUCACAUCCUGGGGCUGAAGUAGGUCCCAAGGGUAUGGCUGUUCGCCAUUUAAAGUGGUACGCGAGCUGGGUUUAGAACGUCGUGAGACAGUUCGGUCCCUAUCUGCCGUGGGCGCUGGAGAACUGAGGGGGGCUGCUCCUAGUACGAGAGGACCGGAGUGGACGCAUCACUGGUGUUCGGGUUGUCAUGCCAAUGGCACUGCCCGGUAGCUAAAUGCGGAAGAGAUAAGUGCUGAAAGCAUCUAAGCACGAAACUUGCCCCGAGAUGAGUUCUCCCUGACCCUUUAAGGGUCCUGAAGGAACGUUGAAGACGACGACGUUGAUAGGCCGGGUGUGUAAGCGCAGCGAUGCGUUGAGCUAACCGGUACUAAUGAACCGUGAGGCUUAACCUUACAACGCCGAAGGUGUUU
This 2931-nucleotide ribosomal RNA is filed under the name Escherichia coli. Its description in RNAcentral is "23S ribosomal RNA". It matches the Rfam family "Bacterial large subunit ribosomal RNA". Lineage: Bacteria; Pseudomonadati; Pseudomonadota; Gammaproteobacteria; Enterobacterales; Enterobacteriaceae. The record is from RNAcentral.